This 178-nucleotide unclassified non-coding RNA is filed under the name Salmonella enterica subsp. enterica serovar Newport. Lineage: Bacteria; Pseudomonadati; Pseudomonadota; Gammaproteobacteria; Enterobacterales; Enterobacteriaceae. The record is from RNAcentral.
AUGUUUUGGCGGAUGAGAGACGAUUUUCAGCACUGAUUCCGGAUUUUCGGGAACGAAAGAUUUUACGCUGAGGCAAGGCGGCAAAUGAAGGAAAGGAAGGAGCAUACAGAAGUAUGUGACUGACUUUGCGAAUGCAGCCAACGCAGCAUCGGUGUAAAAGAUUCGUUUCCGGUAACAG